Molecule: ribosomal RNA, 465 nt
Filed under: Vreelandella stevensii
Lineage: Bacteria; Pseudomonadati; Pseudomonadota; Gammaproteobacteria; Oceanospirillales; Halomonadaceae
Description: partial 16S ribosomal RNA
Rfam family: Bacterial small subunit ribosomal RNA
Source: RNAcentral
CCUACGGGUGGCUGCAGUGGGGAAUAUUGGACAAUGGGCGAAAGCCUGAUCCAGCCAUGCCGCGUGUGUGAAGAAGGCCUUCGGGUUGUAAAGCACUUUCAGUGGGGAAGAAAGCCUUGGGGCUAAUACCCUCGAGGAAGGACAUCACCCACAGAAGAAGCACCGGCUAACUCCGUGCCAGCAGCCGCGGUAAUACGGAGGGUGCGAGCGUUAAUCGGAAUUACUGAGCGUAAAGCGCGCGUAGGCGGUCUGAUAAGCCGGUUGUGAAAGCCCCGGGCUCAACCUGGGAACGGCAUCCGGAACUGUCAGGCUAGAGUGCAGGAGAGGAAGGUAGAAUUCCCGGUGUAGCGGUGAAAUGCGUAGAGAUCGGGAGGAAUACCAGUGGCGAAGGCGGCCUUCUGGACUGACACUGACGCUGAGGUGCGAAAGCGUGGGUAGCAAACAGGAUUAGAUACCCGAGUAGUC